RNAcentral lists this ribosomal RNA (446 nucleotides) under uncultured bacterium. RNAcentral's name for it is "partial 16S ribosomal RNA". It matches the Rfam family "Bacterial small subunit ribosomal RNA", at positions 29 to 523 of the family's 1533-position model. The record is from RNAcentral.
AAUGAACGCUGGCGGCAGGCCUAAAACAUGCAAGUCGAACGCUGUAGCAAUACAGAGUGGCGCACGGGUGAGUAACAUGUGGGAAUAUGCCUUUUGGUACGGAACAACUUUUGGAAACGAAAGCUAAUACCGUAUGGUCCCUUCGGGGUAAAGAUUUAUCGCCAAAAGAUUAGCCCGCACUAGAUUAGCUAGUUGGUGAGGUAACGGCUCACCAAGGCGACGAUCUAUAGCUGUUCUGAGAGGAAGAUCAGCCACACUGGGACUGAGACACGGCCCAGACUCCUACGGGAGGCAGCAGUUAGGAAUAUUGGACAAUGGGCGCAAGCCUGAUCCAGCCAUGCCGCGUGAACGAUGAAGGCCUUCGGGUUGUAAAGUUCUUUAGCCGAUGAUUAAGACAGUAGCUCAAGAAUAAGGGUCGGCUAACUACGUGCCAGCCGCCGCGGUAA